This 705-nucleotide ribosomal RNA is filed under the name uncultured Syntrophorhabdus sp. RNAcentral's name for it is "bacterial SSU rRNA". It matches the Rfam family "Bacterial small subunit ribosomal RNA", at positions 65 to 746 of the family's 1533-position model. The record is from RNAcentral. Lineage: Bacteria; Pseudomonadati; Thermodesulfobacteriota; Syntrophorhabdia; Syntrophorhabdales; Syntrophorhabdaceae.
AGCGUGAAAGUCCCUUCAGGGGCGAGUAAAGCGGCAGACGGGUGAGUAAUACAUAGGUAAUCUACCUUCGAGCUUGGGAUAACCCUGCGAAAGUGGGGCUAAUACCGGAUAAGACCACACGGCGUAAGUCGCGUGGUAAAAGGUGGCUUAUUUUUUAAAUGAGCUAUCACUUGAGGAUGAGCCUGUGGCCUAUCAGCUUGUUGGUGAGGUAAGAGCUUACCAAGGCUAUGACGGGUAGCUGGUCUGAGAGGACGACCAGCCACACUGGGACUGAGACACGGCCCAGACUCCUACGGGAGGCAGCAGUGGGGAAUAUUGGGCAAUGGGCGCAAGCCUGACCCAGCGACGCCGCGUGGGUGAUGAAGGCCUUCGGGUUGUAAAGCCCUGUCAUGUGGAAAGAACAGUCCCGUGGUGAAUAUCCACGGGAUUUGACGGUACCACAGGAGGAAGCACCGGCUAACUCCGUGCCAGCAGCCGCGGUAAUACGGAGGGUGCAAGCGUUGUUCGGAAUUAUUGGGCGUAAAGGGCGCGUAGGCGGUUGUGAAAGUCAGAUGUGAAAUACUUCGGCUCAACUGAAGAACUGCAUCUGAAACUUCAUAACUCGAGUACAGGAGAGGGAAACGGAAUUCCCGGUGUAGAGGUGAAAUUCGUAGAUAUCGGGAGGAACCCAGUGGCGAAGGCGGUUUCCUGGCCUGAUUCUGACGC